RNAcentral lists this unclassified non-coding RNA (203 nucleotides) under Hevea brasiliensis (rubber tree). The record is from RNAcentral. Lineage: Eukaryota; Viridiplantae; Streptophyta; Magnoliopsida; Malpighiales; Euphorbiaceae.
CACAUCACUCCAUGAAUGAUCCUCCACAUCUCCUUCAGCCUUGCCAAUGCUCUGUGGGCUACCAUCUGAGUCGCAGAAUGCCAUUUAUUGAACUGGGCUUUUGGUUCUGACAGUUCUUGCCCCUCAUAUGGAACAAUAAGAUAAGGCAGCAGAGGAAAGCCUGCAUCUCCAAUUAUAUAUUCCCUUAUUUCUGAUCCUUCAGA